GGCGUGCUUAACACAUGCAAGUCGAGCGGAAAGGCCCUUCGGGGUACUCGAGCGGCGAACGGGUGAGUAACACGUGAGUAAUCUGCCCUUGGCUUUGGGAUAACUACCGGAAACGGUGGCUAAUACCGGAUACGACACAGGUACGCAUGUGCUCUGUGUGGAAAGUUUUUUCGGCCAGGGAUGUGCUCGCGGCCUAUCAGCUUGUUGGUGGGGUAAUGGCCUACCAAGGCUUCGACGGGUAGCCGGCCUGAGAGGGUGACCGGCCACACUGGGACUGAGACACGGCCCAGACUCCUACGGGAGGCAGCAGUGGGGAAUAUUGGACAAUGGGCGGAAGCCUGAUCCAGCAACGCCGCGUGAGGGAUGACGGCCUUCGGGUUGUAAACCUCUUUCAGUACCGACGAAGCGCCGAUGAUGGUGGUGACGGUAGGUACAGAAGAAGCACCGGCCAACUACGUGCCAGCAGCCGCGGUAAUACGUAGGGUGCGAGC
Molecule: ribosomal RNA, 491 nt
Filed under: soil bacterium S58M2
Lineage: Bacteria
Description: bacterial SSU rRNA
Rfam family: Bacterial small subunit ribosomal RNA
Source: RNAcentral